Molecule: long non-coding RNA, 388 nt
Filed under: Capsicum annuum
Lineage: Eukaryota; Viridiplantae; Streptophyta; Magnoliopsida; Solanales; Solanaceae
Description: long non-coding RNA (CANN_LNC013979)
Source: RNAcentral
GCCAGAGUCACCAUCACUUUCAUCCUCAUAAGCUUGGUUGUCUUCUUGAGAUGGGUGUUCAUCAUUUGCAGAUGAUUUUUGGUGUACAUGCUUCAUCAACAAGUCUAAUUUCUUUCUCAUCCCACUUCCACAAUUGAUGCACUUUGAGCAACUAAUAUUUCUUGUUUCUUUCUUUCAAACUCAUUUUGCAUGAGAAUAUGUUAAUUCAGGUCAUAAAAAGUGCUAAAAAUACAUUAUUAGCAUAAAUUAUAUGAUAUUAUAGUAUCAAAUAAAAUCAUAACAAUCAACAAAUAUAAAUAUGUAUAUAUUAGCAUUUUCACGUAACUAUACUUAACUAUUUUCAAGUCACUAGUACACAUUUCAAGUCAUUACACUUGACCAUUUUCAA